Molecule: long non-coding RNA, 314 nt
Filed under: Capsella rubella
Lineage: Eukaryota; Viridiplantae; Streptophyta; Magnoliopsida; Brassicales; Brassicaceae
Description: long non-coding RNA (CRUB_LNC004280)
Source: RNAcentral
GUAAACGUCUUAGAUACUCUAUCAAUAUUCAAGAAUCGGCUAAUAUGUGAAAUCAUCCCGUUUUGCUUCAUCUGUUUGGCUAUGAAAUAAAAAUCAUAUUUGUAUAAUGAAUUUGUUAUGUUCCAAUAUUGUGAUGAAAAAUGUUGGGGAAAAGAUAACCACAUCAAUCGGCAAAAAAAAAAAACAAAAGUCAAAACUAGGACCAUAAAUUUUUUUUGCAAUGAUAUCAUCUGACAAAGAAAUAAAUAGAGGAAAUCAAGAUAAAUUUAUAUUAGUCAAUUUCUUAAAUAUUGGUAGGAUAUUUGCGAUGGUUG